Molecule: ribosomal RNA, 240 nt
Filed under: uncultured bacterium
Lineage: Bacteria
Description: partial 16S ribosomal RNA
Rfam family: Bacterial small subunit ribosomal RNA
Source: RNAcentral
UACGAAGGGGCUAGCGUUGUUCGGAAUUACUGGGCGUAAAGCGCACGUAGGCGGAUAUUUAAGUCAGGGGUGAAAUCCCAGAGCUCAACUCUGGAACUGCCUUUGAUACUGGGUAUCUUGAGUAUGGAAGAGGUAAGUGGAAUUGCGAGUGUAGAGGUGAAAUUCGUAGAUAUUCGCAGGAACACCAGUGGCGAAGGCGGCUUACUGGUCCAUAACUGACGCUGAGGUGCGAAACGUGGG